RNAcentral lists this ribosomal RNA (482 nucleotides) under uncultured bacterium. RNAcentral's name for it is "partial 16S ribosomal RNA". It matches the Rfam family "Bacterial small subunit ribosomal RNA", at positions 28 to 507 of the family's 1533-position model. The record is from RNAcentral.
GACGAACGCUGGCGGCGUGCUUAACACAUGCAAGUCGAACGAUGAAGAAGAGAAACGCGAACUUCGGUUCAAAUUUCACUUCGGAUUAGUGGCAGACGGGUGAGUAACGCGUGAGCAACCUACCUCUUACAAAGGGAUAGCCUCUGGAAACCGUGAUUAAUACCAUAUGACACAUUCAUAAGGCAUCUUAAGAAUGUUAAAGCUACGGCGGUAAGAGAUGGGCUCGCGUCCCAUUAGCUAGUUGGUGAGGUAACGGCCCACCAAGGCGACGAUGGGUAACCGGGCUGAGAGGGUGAACGGUCACAUUGGAACUGAGACACGGUCCAAACUCCUACGGGAGGCAGCAGUGGGGAAUAUUGCACAAUGGAGGGAACUCUGAUGCAGCGACGCCGCGUGAGCGAUGAAGGAAUUCGUUUCGUAAAGCUCUGUUCUAUGGGAAGAAAAGGACUGUACCAUAGGAGAAAGCCCCGGCUAAAUACGUG